GACGAACGCUGGCGGCGUGCCUAACACAUGCAAGUCGAACGCCCCGCAAGGGGAGUGGCAGACGGGUGAGUAACGCGUGGGAACAUACCCUUUUCUACGGAAUAGCUCUGGGAAACUGGAAUUAAUACCGUAUACGCCCUACGGGGGAAAGAUUUAUCGGGGAAGGAUUGGCCCGCGUUGGAUUAGCUAGUUGGUGGGGUAAAGGCCUACCAAGGCGACGAUCCAUAGCUGGUCUGAGAGGAUGAUCAGCCAAAUUGGGACUGAGACACGGCCCAAACUCCUACGGGAGGCAGCAGUGGGGAAUAUUGGACAAUGGGCGCAAGCCUGAUCCAGCCAUGCCGCGUGAGUGAUGAAGGCCUUAGGGUUGUAAAGCUCUUUCACCGAUGAAGAUAAUGACGGUAGUCGGAGAAGAAGCCCCGGCUAACUUCGUGCCAGCCGCCGCAGUAA
RNAcentral lists this ribosomal RNA (447 nucleotides) under uncultured bacterium. RNAcentral describes it as "partial 16S ribosomal RNA". It matches the Rfam family "Bacterial small subunit ribosomal RNA", at positions 28 to 523 of the family's 1533-position model. The record is from RNAcentral.